AAUAUAUAAAGAUGAGGUGCGAGCUCUCAAUGAGACUUGUGUGUAACUUCCACUAAGGGAAUGGUCUAGUCACUAGAGGUUUUAAAGAUUUUAUUUUUUCCUUUUUCUCCCCAAAGCCCCCCAGUACAUAGUUGUAUAUUCUUCGUUGUGGGUCCUUCUAGUUGUGGCAUGUGGGACGCUGCCUCAGCAUGGUCUGAUGAGCAGUGCCAUGUCCGCACCCAGGAUUCGAACCAACGAAACACUGGGCCGCUUGCAGCAGAGCGCGCAAACUUAACCACUCGGCCACGGGGCCAGCCCCUACUAGGGGUUUUUUAGUGGAAACAUUUCAAACAUCAGCGAGGCUUUUUUACACACAAAAAGAAGAGGUUUUAAAGAGUUAACAAUUACUCCAAACUGGUCGUGGUCUCCGUUGCAGUCUCUGAAAUCCGACGGCCAAUUUUUAUCCUUUAAGGGAAUUAUUAAUGUGUAUUCACAGAACAAAAUGCACAAAUCUCUAAUGGACAAAUGGACAGCUAUAUGAAUAUUGAAAUAUGCAACCUUCAACAGGAUCAUAACAUACAGAAAUUUUCUAUCAUCUAAGCAUGGCCCUUUGAUACACUUUCCAGCACAGGAGAGGCGUCUCAGUCAUUUCUGCUGGUUGGGAAAGGCUUAUUGUGCCCAGGAAUGCAGCUGGUGUGCAGAAGGUGAGUGAAGGGUAAAUGGGGUGAGAGGCAAGAAGCAGCCGGCUAGCCCAGACAUGGAGCUGGCGCUGGACACAGAGCUUCCCAGAGAAGCCAGGCGUCAGGCUUCCUUGUUCCUGGAAAGGGUACCUCCUUCCGACCUGACCCCAAAGAGCCAGCAUGCAGGGGCUGCUGUGACCAUACUCUCCGUGGGGUCCCCACGUAUGAACACACCCAUGGCCAGCUGCGGGUUAGUAGCAUUUGGAGAGAAAGAAGGUAUCACGCAAAAAGCAGGGCUUCUCCAUACGCUUGGUCAGGAAAGAAAAAAGCCAGGAAUACAGAGGUGGAGACUGCCGAAUGUGGCACACCAAAGUAUGCUGUCCUGGGCCUGGGUUGGCAGAGAGCAAUGAGGCAACAUGGAAGAGACAUCAAGAACCAGAGAAUAUCUGGUGAGAGCGCAAACUCAGUCCUCUGCUAGCAUUAAUUCCACAGCCAAAUCUCCCACAUGCAGGGAAACAGCAUGGGUCAGCACAGCCAGCCAGAGGAAAACGACUUUUGUGGGCGAGUUAUCUCUUCAACCAGAUCUUCGGAGCAAGUGUGCAGUGCCUGGUAGAGUCCACAGAGGUUUAAAAAAAAAACAAAACAGCAGUUGGAGAAGUUGUGGCAUUUGCCUGGAACAUCAUUGUUUUGAUAUUCUGGUAUUGAUUUUUACACCUACCUUCUGCUUAUGGAACUGAUACCGGUUUUCCAUUUGUGGUAGUGGGAUGAAUUAAAAAGUCAAACUACUCAGGAAAAAGAAUAUGAAUCGAUUGAAAGAAAAUAUUUUAAAAAUAUAUUCAGCUCUCGCUCAACUGACAAGUGUGUGGAUACGGCAAAAGCCUGGGGCCCCUAGCAUGUGUGCUGAUGCUGUGCCAGUCAUUGGAUCUGUGCCUGUGAUCCAAUGCCGCUCUGGUCUGCUGCUCCAAAAAUCCUGAAGCCAGGUCACGGUCUCCG
Long non-coding RNA from Equus caballus (horse), 1652 nucleotides. NCBI's taxonomy places the organism in Eukaryota, Metazoa, Chordata, Mammalia, Perissodactyla, Equidae. The record is from Ensembl.